RNAcentral lists this ribosomal RNA (906 nucleotides) under Sphaceloma sp. 'fici-caricae'. RNAcentral's name for it is "LSU rRNA". It matches the Rfam family "Eukaryotic large subunit ribosomal RNA", at positions 36 to 963 of the family's 3401-position model. Lineage: Eukaryota; Fungi; Ascomycota; Dothideomycetes; Myriangiales; Elsinoaceae. The record is from RNAcentral.
UAGCAUAUCAAUAAGCGGAGGAAAAGAAACCAACAGGGAUUGCCUCAGUAACGGCGAGUGAAGCGGCAACAGCUCAAAUUUGAAAUCUGGCGCCCCCCGGCGUCCGAGUUGUAAUUUGUAGAGGAUGCUAUUGGGUUGCCACCGGUCUAAGUUCCUUGGAACAGGACGUCACAGAGGGUGAGAAUCCCGUACGUGACCGGCCAGGCGCUCUCUGUAUAGCUCCUUCGACGAGUCGGGUUGUUUGGGAAUGCAGCCCUAAAUGGGAGGUAAAUUUCUUCUAAAGCUAAAUACCGGCCAGAGACCGAUAGCGCACAAGUAGAGUGAUCGAAAGAUGAAAAGCACUUUGGAAAGAGAGUUAAAAAGCACGUGAAAUUGUUGAAAGGGAAGCGCUUGCAAUCAGUCUCGACGGCGGCUGUUCGGCCUCUCUUCUGAGUGGUUUAUUCAGUCGCCGCCGGGCCAGCAUCAGUUUCGGCGGCCGGACAAAGGCGCGGGGAAUGUAGCUCCCUCGGGAGUGUUAUAGCCCCGCGCGCAAUACGGCCCGCCGGGACUGAGGUCCGCGCUUCGGCUAGGAUGCUGGCGAAAUGGUUGUAAGCGGCCCGUCUUGAAACACGGACCAAGGAGUCUAACAUCUACGCGAGUGUUUGGGUGUCAAACCCGUGCGCGCAAUGAAAGUGAACGGAGGUGGGAACCGCAAGGUGCACCAUCGACCGAUCCUGAUGUCUUCGGAUGGAUUUGAGUAAGAGCGUAGCUGUUGGGACCCGAAAGAUGGUGAACUAUGCCUGAAUAGGGUGAAGCCAGAGGAAACUCUGGUGGAGGCUCGCAGCGGUUCUGACGUGCAAAUCGAUCGUCAAAUUUGGGUAUAGGGGCGAAAGACUAAUCGAACCAUCUAGUAGCUGGUUCCUGCGA